GUCGAACGGUAACAGGAAGAAGCUUGCUUCUUUGCUGACGAGUGGCGGACGGGUGAGUAAUGUCUGGGAAACUGCCUGAUGGAGGGGGAUAACUACUGGAAACGGUAGCUAAUACCGCAUAACGUCGCAAGACCAAAGAGGGGGACCUUCGGGCCUCUUGCCAUCGGAUGUGCCCAGAUGGGAUUAACUAGUGGGUGGCGCAAUUGAUCUCCCAGGCGAACAUCCCUAA
RNAcentral lists this ribosomal RNA (229 nucleotides) under Escherichia coli. RNAcentral's name for it is "partial 16S ribosomal RNA". It matches the Rfam family "Bacterial small subunit ribosomal RNA", at positions 61 to 286 of the family's 1533-position model. Lineage: Bacteria; Pseudomonadati; Pseudomonadota; Gammaproteobacteria; Enterobacterales; Enterobacteriaceae. The record is from RNAcentral.